This 490-nucleotide ribosomal RNA is filed under the name uncultured bacterium. RNAcentral describes it as "partial 16S ribosomal RNA". It matches the Rfam family "Bacterial small subunit ribosomal RNA", at positions 28 to 507 of the family's 1533-position model. The record is from RNAcentral.
GAUGAACGCUCGCUACAGGCUUAACACAUGCAAGUCGAGGGGCAGCAUGGUCUUAGCUUGCUAAGGCCGAUGGCGACCGGCGCACGGGUGAGUAACACGUAUCCAACCUGCCGUCUACUCUUGGACAGCCUUCUGAAAGGAAGAUUAAUACAAGAUGGCAUCAUGAGUCCGCAUGUUCACAUGAUUAAAGGUAUUCCGGUAGACGAUGGGGAUGCGUUCCAUUAGAUAGUAGGCGGGGUAACGGCCCACCUAGUCUUCGAUGGAUAGGGGUUCUGAGAGGAAGGUCCCCCACAUUGGAACUGAGACACGGUCCAAACUCCUACGGGAGGCAGCAGUGAGGAAUAUUGGUCAAUGGGCGCAGGCCUGAACCAGCCAAGUAGCGUGAAGGAUGACUGCCCUAUGGGUUGUAAACUUCUUUUAUAAAGGAAUAAAGUCGGGUAUGGAUACCCGUUUGCAUGUACUUUAUGAAUAAGGAUCGGCUAACUCCGUG